RNAcentral lists this long non-coding RNA (1599 nucleotides) under Hordeum vulgare. Its description in RNAcentral is "long non-coding RNA (HVUL_LNC018952)". The record is from RNAcentral. Lineage: Eukaryota; Viridiplantae; Streptophyta; Magnoliopsida; Poales; Poaceae.
AUAUAUAUAUAAAGAAUUGGCUUACACUCGCCACAUGCUACAUCAGAGUCACAUCAGUACAUUGCAUAAUCAUCAAGAGUAAGAGCAGGGUCCGACUACGGACGAAAACAAACGAGAAAAAUAAGAACGACGUCCAUCCUUGCUAUCCCAGGCUGCCGGCCUGGAACCCAUCCUAGAUCGAUGAAGAAGAAGAAGAAGAAGCAACUCCAAAUGUACAAUCAAUGCGCUCGCGUCAAGUAACCUUUACCUGUACCUGCAACUGGUGUUGUAGUAAUCUGUGAGCCACAGGGGACUCAGCAAUCUCAUUUCCAAAGGUAUCAAGACUAGCAAAGCUUAAUGGGUGAGGUAUGUUUAAGUGGUGAGGUUGCAGCAGCGACUAAGCAUAUAUUUGGUGGCUAACUUAUGAAUACCAGAAAUAAGAGGGGGGAGAUCUACGCAUAGCGGACGUGAACUACUGAUGAUCAAAUGAAUGAUCCUGAACACCUACCUACGUCAGACAUAACCCCACCGUGUCCUUGAUCGGAGAAGGAACUCAUGAAAGAGACAGUCACGGUUACGCACACAGUUGGCAAGUUUUAAUUAACUUAACUUCAAGUUAUCUAGAACCAGUGUUAAACAAAGUUUCCACGUUGCCACAUAACCGCGGGCACGGCUUCGAAAAGAUUUAACCCUGCAGGGGUGCUCCAACUAGUCCAUCACAAAUUACCACAAGCCGCAUAGAAAUCCUCAAUCACGAAGCUCGCGAUCUCGUCGGAUUCCCUAGUGGAAAACCUCAACUCUGAGAUUACCCAAAGCAUCAUCGGAAUCCCGAUGCACAAGAUAUCUCGUCAAAGGUAAAAUUAAUCCAGCAAGGCCGCCCGACGUGUCGACGAUCCCGAUAGGAGUCGCGUACCUCGUUCUCAGGACACGGCGGAUGAGCUAGACGUCGGGAUCGCUAAACCUCCGGGUGACCAGAGGGGCCCCGGACAUCGCUCAGGUGGGGCCAACACUCGUGAGGAGCACUGGCCCGGGGGUUGAUUAAAUUAUCCUCGGGGUCCGGAAAGUCCCUAUGCAAUUUUAUUAGGUGUUUAGGCAAAUGUAGUACCAAAGUUGGGCCUUGCCAGACCAGCUUUAGUCUAAAACGAAUUAUCAAGGGGGUCCCCAUAACAACCCCGAUCGUGUUAGGAGCGCUCAUUUAUGGAACAUAACACCGGUAGCCGGAAACAAAGGGGGCAAAGGUGGAACAAAACACCAGGCUAGAAAGGCCGAGCCUUCCACCUUUUACCAAGUAUAUAGGUGCAUUAAAUUAAAUAGCAUUUAAAUAUGGUGAUAUAACAAGGAACCCAUGUUAUCACAUGGAAGCAACUACACCUGCAACUAGCAACGCUAUCAACAGGGUUAAGCAAGCAGGAACAUAGCCAAUGAGUGGUUUGCUAGGUUGAACAGGUAGAAGGUUAUCAUGUCAUUGUUGAGAGGCUGAUAUUUAACAUGUGGUAGGCAACGAGACAUAAUCGAUAGCAUCAAAAUAACUAGCAAGGCAAUGAUAGUAAUGAUAUCUAGGGAAUUGGUCAUCUUGCCUGAGAUCCCGCUUGGAAGAAGAAUGCCUCCGUGAAGCAGACG